CUCUUCUUCUCGCGUUUUCCCUUUCUCGCGGCAGCUAGGGCUCGCGAUCUUCGCCACCUUCCCCCUUCUCUUUUCUUCUCUCCGGCCGGCGGAACCUCUUCUUCUCUUCACUGCCGCCGGCCGGUCCUCCACAUCCAUUCUCCUCUUCUCCGAUCUGCUCAACUCGGCGACGACAGCAGCUCCGGCGGACUCCUUUGAGCGGACAGCGACGGUGGUCUAGGGUUCUCUUGACGGCGGAGCGUUCUCCUCCGGCAAGGUAAGAUCAGGAUAUGUAUCCAAUAGCCAUGGAUCCAUUUGAGGCUUUGAUGAUGGAGGGAGCUGAACUUGACGAUAAUGAUAACAUUAAGAAGAGGCUUACUUCUAUUUGGUCUAUUCCACUUCCAUGCUGGCUCUUAUUACUGAACCAUAUUCGCCCACCAGAAAUUCAGGGGAGUUUGAUUCAUUUCACCUUAAAUUUGUCAUUGUAGAUAUCAUUCCUUUACUUGGUUGCAUGAAUAAUUCAUUUACUUACAUGAACUUUCAUAGAGUAUGAUUUCGGUUUUUGGAAAUAAAUCCUUUAUUGUAGAUAUCAUUUUUUAUGGUUGAACAUUUCAUUUCCGCAAAGAAGUUUUGGUUUUCGGAAAUAAAAUGAAUCCCUUGGCAUUUCUCGAUAUCAUUUUAGAGAUUUUUGAAAGCUAGUUAAAUUUGAUUGUUAAGUUUUGGAAUUCAUAGUCAUGAUUGGAUUCUUGGAUUACAUGAGUUUGAUACUUAGUGAUGGAAUCUAGAUUGAUAAAUUGAGAUGAUAAUUUGAAUACCUAGUGAGGAUUAAGCAUUAUUUGAGAUGCACUUGUGUUAGUGUCACUCUAGAACUUGCUUUGAUUCUUUCAAACCACAUUUUCAUGGAUUGAGUCAUUCUUAUGAAAGUUAAUCUAAUUCUCUAAUCUUCCAUACAAUUUCUUGCUUAUUUUCUUGUGAAUCAUCAUAUCAUUUUAUCUUUUCUCAUUUCUUAAUCUCUCCGAUGUGGAUACCUUGUUUGUUAUAUGAUGAAUUAUUUGGCCAAGAUGGAUAAAAUUUUGAGUGUGGGGGAGGAGUAUAUCUUUGGAUUAACAUUUCUAAUGAUAAGAUUCAUUUCAGUUUUUGAUGAGUGAUUUCCGAAGUUGAACAUUAUGUUCUUGGUGCUAUUGGAGUUAUUUGAAGAGCAUAAAUGCUAUUUGAUUGAGUUGAGAUUGAAUCAUAACCUUGGGGACUUGAAUGACACAUGUUACAAUUUGGAUGAAAAUUUUGGAAGUGCAAUGAGCCAAGAUUAAUAGUUUCUUAUUUUCAAGGAAAUAGAUUGCUAUUUUAAGGCUGAAUGGUGUUCUAUCAAUUGCAAGAUAAUUCUUCAUUUAACAGAUCUAUAUUCUAUGAAACAACCUAUUGAUUAUUUUACUUGAAAUGAAGAAGGUUUAAGCAAUGGAUUUAAGAAAUCAGCUCAAAUUUUGGAAAUCAGAAUUGUUAUUGUAUGAGUUAUUUGUGUCAAUUGGUGAUACUGUUUUUGAACAGCAAGGUUUAAAAUCCUAACUUUUAAUAUUGCACUGCCAAAUGAAGCCAUACCCUGAGCUGAAUUCUUUAAGAUGCAAGCUAGAAUUGUUUUGAAAUUUAGGAAUUGUAACUAUGGAGUGGAGGCUUAAUCUGUGCACAGCAAAUUUGUUUAGAAUUGAGAAAUUUAGCUUGAUUUUGACUCUCAAAUGUUGAAAUUCAAUCCAGCAAGUUGAAUAUGCUACUGUUGAAAAAGUGAACUUCGAAUCAAAUUUUUGAAUUCCUGAACUUUCUGGCAGCUUAAAUUCUUUACAAUGAGGAAGUGAUGAAUUAAGAGAGAUUUGAACUCGAUUCUUAAACAUUAAGUUGAAGCAAUGAAUGAAGUUCCAGACUUCAAGAGUUCAAAUUCUGAAAUUAAUUUCUGAAACUUGCACAAGGCAAAAAGUUAAUUGUGGUAUCUUGCUUAGACGGUGUUGGGCUAUCUUCACAUUAGCUUGAGGGUUGUACUACUCGAAAUGCAUAUCAAAAUUUGAAGGAUUCAGAAAUGUAGAUGUUUUACUUGAAGUUACUACAGAAUUUGUUAUGUUCAGAAUUUGACAAGACCUAUAAGUUACUGAAAUUGCAGUCAAACAAAUCCAGAUUGGGAAGUUAACUGAGCUAGGAAAGAACUUAUGCUAAGUACAAUCGAAGGAAGUGGAAUUGCAAAUAAGAAUGGAAUCACAAAGUUUCAAUGCAUAGGGUUUCAUUUCUACUUGGUGUUGCAUGAUUGAAAUUAUAAUUUCUCUGGUCCUGAAAUGCAAAAUCUGCCAAAAUUCUUUUGGGUAAGGAAGUUACUCUGAACUUGGCAAAUUUGAGAUGAUGAAAGGCAUUUUAGUUUUGAUCUUGAUGAAUUAAUAUUGUAUAUUUUUUAGUAACAAAUGGAGUUCAUUUAUUUCCAAUGUCUUUUAUAUUUUGGAUGGUAGUGAUUUGUGAUUUUUAGGAAACUCUCAAAUUGAUGGAUAUGAAUUUGUUGGAAGCUGAUGUAUGUUAUCCAAUAGUUGCUGUGCAGAAAUUACAAAAGAGUGCUGAUUGAAUUGGAAGUUGUUUGUAUUUUCUAUUCAUUCGAAAUGAGACAAUGCCCCAGCUAACCUAGACAUAGCUACAAGUUGCAAAUGAAGAAAAGAUUUUGGAAGUUUAAGUGUUGAGGCUGGAAGGGAUACAAAACAGAAAUAACAUAUCUGAAAUAAACCAGAAAUUCUUCACUGUGUAGAAUCAGAACCAACUCUUUAUCAGCUCUGUUCAGAAUCUAUGUAGAAUUGAAGGCAUGCUAGAUUGGAUUGAAUGUUAAAUGGGAUGGUCUAUUGAGAUUAAAGCUUCAAGAGAAUUCAGUUUGAGAGUUAUAUCAAGUGGGUAUCAAUCUUUUAUCACCAGCUUUCAAAAUAGUGAGAAAUUUAGUGAAGAUCCUGCACUCUAUCUAACAAAUGGUUUCUCAUUUCAUUCCAUGCCUUUUUCAAAUUGGAUUUUACAAAAUCUUGAAGAAUCAUGUUGCUUAAAACAGUGAAGUGAGAAACUGAAAAUCAGAAUUCAGUUUUAGAUUGUUAUCAACUGUGUACCAAAAUGUUAUAAGUAGCUUACAAAACAGUGAGGAAAAACAAUGAAGCUAUGGAAUUUUCAGUAACAUAUGGUGUUCUUUUCAUUCCAUGUUUUCCGGAAAUUGGAUUGGACAGAAUUCUAAUUGCUAAAACAGAACUGUGAAACUGAAUACUGAAAACUGUUAAAUUGCAAAUACUAUGUCAACUUUUUAAUUGAUCUUUCUGGUCUGAACCAAAUGAAGACAAGCUAGAUUUGAUUCAAUGUUAAAUGAAACAAUGUAGAGGGAUUAAAGAUCAAAGCUUGAUCUGAAGUACCAAGGAGAUUAGAAAUCAAAACUGAUGUAAAGACACAGAAUUUCAGAAUCUGUUUGGAUGUUUAAGCUGAGAUGGAAUCCAAAUGAUAUCCUUGAAGACAAAUAGAGAAGUAGAAACCAUUCUGAUCAAUAUGUCCAGCAGAGUUUUCAGCAAUGAACUUUGGCCUCCUCAAUUCUCAGCCAUGUGUGAUUCAAGGAAAACAAAUUCUUUCAAGUAUUAAAUUCUGAAACUAAUGAGGUUCAAACUAAAUUUUGAUGUUUAACAGUAACACCAACACCAACUCACUGGAUUCAACAAUUAAAGUUCAGUAGCUAAUGAUUUGUGUGUUAAUUGACUUGUUAGUGAGAUUGGAAUCAAAUGAAAUAUGUCAGGAAGUUCAAUGGAAGCUGGAAAUUUCAGUAAUUAUGAAACUGGAAUUACGUGUAGUUGUUUGUGGAAAUUUUAGUAUCAAGUUUGUACCAAAAUUUAUGGGAAGCCCUCAAAUCAGUUAUGAACUUAUGUAAAAUUCAGUUAAUUUCAGAAAAUUGUUGGGCUAGCUGUUAGCAAGGAAGCAUUCUUGUUAGAAUGAACUCACCAAGUUAAGGAAUUUUUCAAGCUGCAUAGAGAAUGAGAUAACAGGAAUCGAGAACUUGAUUGUGCCAAAUUUUUUAUGCUGAUUUUGAACAGCAGUAAUCUAAAUUCAACCUCCUAUUAAUUCAGUGUUAAAUGAUUGUUCCUCUUAAGCCUUAAUCUGCAAGUCUUAAGCCUAAGGUUCCUUGAAUUACGGAUUUUGAAACUUAAGUCUUAAGUUGAAGAAUUUGAGAACUACCACUAAACAAGACCUGCAUCAACCUGCAAUUUUGUUUCUGAUCAGGAAUUAAUUAAAUGCAAGUUGUAUUUGAUUGAGUAGUUGAAUGAUAUAUUAUGAUGAGAUUAAAACCUGGAAGCUCUAUCUGUAGUCCAAGAAAAUCAGAAAUGGAAACUUAACCACUCAAAUGUAGAAAUUCAGAAAAGGGAAGUGGCUGUUUGAUGAUCAAACCUGUUUGAUUUCUGAAUUAAACAAAGUAAAAUAAUUUUCUAGCUAAUCAAGGAAUGAGCUUUAAUUGCACAAGAGGAAAACAAAUUUGUAUUGAAGAACAAACUUGUUGGGUUUUUAACUGCACAACACAUUUGAAGACAUCUUUUAACUAAUCAAGAAACAAAUGCUAAAGGCAGAUGAAGAAACAAAUUUUAGAAGUUAUAGUUGGGGGUUAGCUUCAAUAAUGCAGUAAAGGCAGCAGUUGGAAAACAGGAAUGUAGUUCCAAAUGUUGUAUUAAGAGUGUACCAACUUUGUAUCACUAGUUUUCAAAUCAGUGGAGGAUUUAGUGGAUGACUUACACUCAGUAUUUAAUGGUGUUGUAUUUCUUUCCAGAUCUUCAAAAAUGGGAUGGAGACAUUGUUAAAUACUAAAUUGCUGAAAUAUUUUCACUAAUAGAAACUGUGUUAAGUUGUUGAAAUGGUUUCUGAUCCUAAAUAGAAUUGAGUCAAGCAUCUAUUUACGGAGAAUUAAAUGAAAAAAACUAUAGAGAUUUAACUGCAAGACUUGGAUCUUUAAGAGGAAUCAGAAGCUAGAAUAAUUGAACAGAAUUGAAGAAGAGCAAUUGGUGAUGCUAUUUUUGAACAAGGUGUAAAAUUCAAAGUUUGGAUAUUGUAGUGCUGAAUGAAAUCAAACCCUUAAUUCUAUCUUUUAUGUAGCAUCUGAAAGUAUUUUGAAAUUUAGGAAUUGAUAAUUAUUGAGUUACUGAAUUCUGUGUACAACAGAAUUGCAGAAAUGAGAGGCUGAAAAGAGCUUAUAGGGAUACUGCAGUGAAAAUUUAUGGCUUGUUGAAUUGGAUGUUGAUGUUUAGUAGUUAUACAUGUGAAAUGCAGAGAUGAAUUUAAGGCUUGUUGCUUAUCUGGAAUUGGACAUUGCUGUUGUGCAGAAAUUGCAGAAUUUAUAGGACUGAAUUUAUGGGUCUGUGAGUGUUUGGCUGGUUCAAGAACAACAAUUUUGAAAUAGAGAAAGUUAAGAAUGGUGUUUAUAUCAGUAACUAGGAGGUGAAGCAUGGUGGAAUCUGAUCAAUUCAUUAUCUGAAAUGUAGGACAGGAAUUUAAGACUGCUGUGCAGAAAUGCAGUAAGUUGAUGUGCAGGAAUGUACUAGAGUAUGUAAUGAACUUUUCGAUUGGAAGGAAUUGAAGGGCAAGCUAAUUGUGAUUGAAUGUUAAGAAGAUAGUCUUUUGGAGGUUAAAACUUUAAUGUUUGGCCAGAAUUUUCAAGUAGAUCAGAAAAGAAGGAAAUGCAGAAAUUUCUGCUAAUGAAACAUUUCUAUGCUAUUUUGGAAAAUGAGUUAUAACAAGCUAGAGUUACUAAAACCUGGAAAUUUUUGGAGGAUGAAUUGACAAGGAUCUUAAAACGCUAAGUGAAAAGGAAUUGGAAUUUUUGGUGGCUAAAUGAUGACUAGUUGGCACAAAGUCAGGAAGCUGUAUAGAGAUUUUGGAAACCUGUAAGUUCUGUGAUACAUGGUGUUUAGAGCUAUUGGAUCACUGAAAAAUUAUAAUUCAGCUGUUGUUCAAGCAUUGUUAAAUGAUGAUUUUGCUUCUCUAUAGUUUACAAGAUUUUUUAAAACUGAGAAUUGGAUGCAAACAUAAACACAAAGCUGGGAACUGAAACUAAAAAUCAAUUCUGCAGUUUGGGUUUUGGACUGUAAUUGCAGCAGGUGGAAGUUAAAAUUUGAGCUGAAUUUUGUGCUUUUGAAAGAAAAGAGGUUAAGUCUUGCGGUCGGUCAAGUGCAAAAUAAGAUGUAAAGAAAAAAAAAAUGAAAGAGAGAAGUGUGCAGUUGCAAGUGGAGCUGAAUCAUGAUUUCAAUGUAAUUCAGUUUUGUGACACAAGUAAUUUGUUGUUUUGUGCCAAGUUUUCUUGCUGUUUAUAAUCUAAAAUGAAUGGAAUUCAAAGCCCUCUUGAUUCAAUAUCAAAUGAAUUAUCUUCCGAAGCUUCACUCGCUGACAAUUUUUGUUGAAAUGUCAUUAUAGCAGAAUCUGGAAACUAAAGGAUAAAUAAACACAGAAACUCUGUGUGAGGCUUUAGAAACUGGAUGUUUUUUCUUCAUCAAGUGUUUUGGUUGAUUCUUGAUGAGUUAAGUGUCCGAGAUGAACAAAAUUUUAAGUGUGGGGGAAGAUAAGUAAAGAUAAGUGAAUGGUGAAACUGUGCAUAUCAAAAAGCUGAAAUUUCAGCAAGUUGUGUUUCGGUUUUGGAAUUAAUUUGGAUAAAAUUUAUAAUCUAAUUCUAGAGCUAUGGAUUAUUUGCAAAGAUUGAAAAGGCUAUUAUGAUGUAAACUCCAUCGUUUUCGAGCUGCAUAAAGAAUGAAAACAGAAAUACAUAAAAAUUCUGCAAAUCUGUUUGAAUCACUAAGCAGUACCAAAAUUGUUUUUAGAGUGAUCUUUGUGAGUUGAAGUAGAAUGGAAAUCAAGCCUUUAUUGAGUAAAUGUUGAAUGAGAGAAUUAUAGUGAUUAAAUGCAAAAGCUUGAUCAGUAAACACUGCUCAGAAAUGAAACUGAUUGCAGAAUCCAGAAAUUCAGUUUAGUGAAUUUCUAAAUCAAAUUGUUCUCUGAUAUUCACAAAAUGAAGACAUCUCUUAGCUAAUCAAUAAACAAGUGUUAGAUAUAAGUGAAGAAAUAAAUUUCAGAGACUAUCAUGGGGCAUUAGCUUUAGAGAUGGAGACAAGGCAGCAAGAGCAGAACACUUAACCUGCUAAAUCUGUUCACUAAGAAAAAUAGUUCCAGUUUAUGUUGAAUUGAAUUUCUAAUUCAUAAUAAUACACGCCUUUAUUUGUUGAAGACUCAAAGAGUUAAUUUAUAGAGCUUAAACUACCAGGCUUGGAUCCAAAGAGAAAUCAGAACUGAAGAUGAUAGAAACUAUGAAGAUUCAGAGGUAGGAUUUGGAUUCAUUUGUGCUAAAUUGAGAAGAAGUAUUUUGAAAGAUAGAAGGAAAUAUAUGUCCAUGAGUUAAUGAUCAUUGGAAGUAGGUGGAAAUGAAUUUAGAAGAACAAAAUCAUAAUUGAAAUGCAAUGUUGCAGAAAACUGUCAUUGUGCAGAAAUUGUGUGCCAAUUCUUAAAGAGAUUCUGAUCGGCAAUGAAGUUAGUGAAGCUAAUCCAAUUAAGUGCUAAAUGAGAUGUUAUACAGAAGUUAAUGUAAAGCUUGAUUAGAAAUCAGUAAGAUCAGAUUUCAGAGUUAGAAUUGAUGAUAAAAAAUUCGGAGUUCCAGCUUCUAUGAGUUUCAAAUCUGACAUGGACUUCUUGACCUUUAUUUCCAGAAAUUCUAGCAGGAUAAAUGGAGGAGCAUUCAAGGGCUUGAUUCUAAAAAUUUUGGGAAGAAACGUCCAGUCAUUAAAGUUUGGAACUUAGAUGAAGCAGUGUAGAGGCUAAAUUCGGUCCACUGAGUAAGAGUUGUAAUAACUUGAUCAAAUUGUUUCUAAUCUGAAAUGAAUUGAUAACAAGUUUCAUCAACUUCUACACAGACCCGACUCUUCAAGAUUCAAACCAAGAUACUUUGUCAUUCUAAAUUCAAAAACAACAAAUGCAAAAUCAGCUCACUUCUUUGAAAUUCUGGAAUUUAUUAUACUGUUAUGAAUUGAAAAGAAGCUGAAUUUAGGAAAUAAUUGUUGAGCAUUGGAGAGUAAGUCAGAAAGAAAGGAAGAUAGUUGAGCAUGAUCAAGAAGUUCAUCUAUAUAGCAUUCUUUUGGUGUCCAUGUCUUCCACUAUACCUUUGAAUUCUAUUUUCCUUAUUUCUUUUCUUACACACAAACUCUUAUUUGAUUGAUUCAUGCUUUCUUUGCCAUCAUUAUAAACUUCAUAAUUAUGUAUUCUAAUACUUUGGAUAGUGGUUAAGAGUAGAAGAUAAACAAGCUUAUGGUAGUGAAUGAAACACAAGUAACUUGAGCACUAUUGCAUUUAUAUGAGAUGAGAGUCACCAUCACUUUCCUUGUGAGGUUAUUCUGUUAUCAUUCUCAAUUUAUUGAUUGUGGAUUUAAGUUAUCAUACUUGUUAAUUAGUGUAUGAAUUGAAUUCAUGAAUGCUUAGGUCAUUUGAAUUGGACAAUCAUAGGUAAUUUUCUUUUCACUAUUUUCUAAGCAUGAUUAAGAAUUGCUAGAGGGAUACAUUUUGUUAUUUUCUUCUUUUGGUUAAUUGCUCGAGACGCCCAAGAAUAAGUGUGGGGGAGUUGAUAAUGGACAUUUUGUGUAUUAUUUUGGCUCUUAUACUUAGCAUUGUAUACCUUCUCGCAUAAUUAAUGUUGUGUUUAUAUCAUGAUUUGUGAAUAGAGAUUCAUUUUUGGACUUCAUUAUAAAUUUUCUACAAAUUGUAGAAUUUAAUCUCAUGUUUUUAUUAUGAUUUUAUAGUGAAUUCAAAGAGUCAUGGAUUAUGAUCGAAUCGGAUCGAAUUUAGCUUGAUUUGAAUGUCAACUAGAGGAGAUCAAGCUGAUAUGAAUCGUUGAUCAAGAUCCAGUGAGAUCCUGCCCCUUUAGUCAGAUCAAGUGAUUAAGCCCUUCAUCCUGAUUUAAAGAGAUCUGGACCGUUCAUAGAGAUCAACACAUCAAAGGUUCAACUAAGAAAUGGAGCUCCAAUUCAAACCCAAUCCAAAAGCCCACUCUUCAAGCCCAAUUUCAAAAACUCAAUUUUCCUUCUCUUAUUGGAUCCGGAUCUCAUCAACCAAAUCCAAAAAUCAUCACCUCUAAAAUCCAAGAUCCAAAACCCGUUAAGAAACCCCUAAUUCUCUCCACGCACGGAACAGUGCCCGAACCUCUUCUUCUCGCGUUUUCCUCUUUCUCACGGCAGCUAUGGCUCGCGAUCUUUGCCACCUUCCCCCUUCUCUUUUCUUCUCUCCGACCGACGGCACCUCUUCUUCACUUCACUGCCGUCGGCUGGUCCUCCAUAUCCAUUCUCCUCUUCUCCGAUCUGCUCAACUCGGCGACGACAGCAGCUCCGGCGGACUCCUUUGAGAGGACAGCGACGGUGGUCUAGGGUUCUCUUGACAGCGGAGCGUUCUCCUCCGACAAGGUAUUCCUUCUUCAUCCCUAUCUCAGCGGAUCUUCCUGUGGACAAUGUUCCGAAAGCAGAGGAAUCCGACUGUGCCUUCUUCUCCAGCGAGCUCCAUCUCUCUAAAUCCAUCACUGUGCCGUUGUGGAGCCUUCACCUGUGGACGGCAUUUCGGAAGCAGUGAUCCUCCAUCUCAAAUGCAGUGACUGUCCAAUUCUGGAAGAAGAAAGCUCGAUCUUAGUUGUGUAUCAAUUUCCAACCGAUCAGGAGCAGUUAAUGGGUUUGUUGUUCACCAGUGAUGGCGUUCCAGAUCUGGGCCCUUUGUGUAAUGGCAAAGGGUAGUUGAAUUGGUAUAUGAUUAUGGAGGAAUGAGUUUGGUUGAUUAACUUAGUUUGUUUCCAUGUUUAGAUUUGUUAGUCUUUGUUCUUAUGCAUUUUGGAUAUUGUAGUUAAUGUUUUGAUUCAUGCUGCGUAGUUGUUAGUUUACCUUCA
Molecule: long non-coding RNA, 9901 nt
Organism: Zingiber officinale
Lineage: Eukaryota; Viridiplantae; Streptophyta; Magnoliopsida; Zingiberales; Zingiberaceae
Exons: 2
Source: RefSeq, a predicted model, not a curated record